UAUUCCUUUUUCUGCUGUUUAUGGUUCUUGUUUGUUCCAUUGUCAUUGCAUGAAUCUGCAAAAAAUAAGUAUUUGUGGUUUUGUAUUCCGUUCCCUGCUGUCUCACUUAAAGUCAUGUAUCUUCUUACAGAAACUUUGAACGGUCAAUAGUACCUAUUUAUUUGUGUUUUUUCUACUUCAAACUAUAUUUUAUUUAUAGCACACAUGAUAUAUGCUCCCCUCUCCUUUACUAUGAAGAUGAAUGUGAUGAAGCAGGAGCCUUGGUUAAUAUGAUUAUGCUCAUGCUGUAGAUCCUGUUGCUAGCUGAGGCUUAGUCCAAUAAACCAUAAAUGUCAUUUGAUUAUUCUUUUUCCUCAAAAAACAUAGGCUGAUAGUGGAAUGUUCUCACAGUGCACCAACAUGAUUUUCUCAUGCAUUGCAUCCUACAAAAUAUUUAGUAUCUAGAGUUCUUUAUACAUUUAAGACUCUUCCAUCAAAUUUUCAUCAACCAUUAUUAACUUACUGACCAUAGUCAUUCUGGCAGGAUCCCCUCUAUUUUGUUGGUGCCACCAAGGAGUUAUUGAGAAGGGCUGGCUUGCGCAUGUUGUCAGUUGACGCUGGAGCUGCGUGAUAUGGUCAGUAGCCUAGCCUCUGGAGAUCAGAAUCAUUGAAUUUUGAAUUGGCACUGUCUCUCUGUAGAUAUGCAGGUACAUUUCCAAACCCUAAUUUGAUGACCAUGUCCAUGCAACUCUGCUUACCAUGAUCCUAAGCAAAGUUCUUGAGGAGGCAGGAAGCUUGGAACCGAGGUAAAUGACCUUCUCUUAUGCAUUUUAAUCUCCUAAAGUUGACUCUUCCAGUUGGAAAUGGAUGUUCAGUAAAGCUUGAGUACUACUAGCUUUAAUAUUGUGGACUGCAAACUACUAUCGAGUUCUAACACUACAAGCUCUGUUUCUAAAAACA
This is a non-coding RNA of Musa acuminata subsp. malaccensis (wild Malaysian banana), 939 nucleotides long. The record is from RefSeq and is a predicted model, not a curated record. Lineage: Eukaryota; Viridiplantae; Streptophyta; Magnoliopsida; Zingiberales; Musaceae.